This 384-nucleotide ribosomal RNA is filed under the name Triticum aestivum (bread wheat). RNAcentral describes it as "partial small subunit ribosomal RNA". Lineage: Eukaryota; Viridiplantae; Streptophyta; Magnoliopsida; Poales; Poaceae. The record is from RNAcentral.
AUGGCGAUGAAGCGCCGCUCCGUGCUGGCUUUGCUCGUCGUCGCCUUCGUCGGAGGGAACCUGCUCCUCGGGGCCUCGUUUAGCGCCAGAAGCACGGUGAAGUCCUCAGCCUCAGACCCGGACUAUGGAACUGCUGAGCUAAACGGCAGGAGACUAAAGGAAAGUGGACAAGAUGUUACUAACAGGAAGACUAGGGACUUACAAGAUGUAAAGGCUGAUGACUACCAACCUAUUGACCCAAGUCCAAGCUCGAAGGCAAGUAUCAGGCCAGCUCCAAUCGAGCAUGGCACUCCUCUUCUUCCUUAUGUGCCACGGUACCCGCCGCCUCCUGGUCAGCCUAAGGAUGCGCAUUCUGCUCAGUCUGCUGCCGCUCCUGUCGCUUAG